UUUUCAAAGAACAUUUAAUCACAGAAACUUUCAAAAUAUUUUGUACAUUGAAUAGAUCCGAUCACCAAGCAGUGCAUAGAGUAGGAUCCUAACUUUGUAAAAUAUCCAUAUGUCAUAUAUAAAGAAAGACAAAUGUAUAUGUGCCAAGUAAGAAGACUGGAAGGAAUUAUGAACAGUGGUUAUCUCUGUGAUUGAUUAUGGGUGUUUGUAUUCUGGUUUUUGUUAUUUUCAAAAUUUUCCCCAGCACACAGAUAACAUUUUCUUACGUGAGAAAAAAUUUUUUUUAAAAAGCAGGGGGUGGAGAGCGGCAACUGUUUGCUCAAGACUUUUCAGUAAGGAAAGGAACCUGGGGUAGAAAGCUCCCCCUUCAGCUGCCCAUGAGGGCACAGGUGGGCCCCACACUCACUACGGGGCCAGGGCAGGGCCGCACACCUGCCACUUCCUCAGCAGAGACCCUAGCGCGUGGGUCACUGCUGGCCCAGACUCCUUCCACGAGCAGGCGAGUGUGCAGGGCCACACCUCAUCCAAGAGAUGAUCACGUUUAGGUUUUUGAUGAAAAGCAUAGCUCUCAGGUAAAUACAGCAGCACCUCUAAGCAUAUUCUGGGAGGAGUGGGUUUUAUGAGGAAGGCACACAAGGAACGCCCAAAUUUGCAAGUCCCUUUAAAAUGAGCCUGCUCAGAAUUGCUGUUUAUUCCACAGGUCUGCGCAGGCAUGGCACUAAGUGUCCCAUGGCACAUUUGGCCCUCAUGGAGGCCUCAAAAGGGCAGGACCAGCACCCUCUUCUACGGAGGAAGGAACGGGCACAGCAGAAACAAGGAGAGUCAGCAAUUACCAGCCAGCCAAGGUCCUGGAAGCUGACGUAGAGCUCGUGCCGACGGCAGACCUGCCGGCCGUGGGAGCCGCGGACGUCAUCUGCAGGGACAGAAGGGGCAAGGUCUUUUCUGGGGUUCCUGCUGUGUGCAGCUACUAUGGGGUACCAGGGUGGGGGAUGCCCUGAUGAGCACAUUUGUCAAAUAAAUGAAUGACAGGAAACCAUUUGGUCUCAUAAAGCCCAUCCCUGGAACGCUGCUUGUACCAUGACCCAGCUCAAAAGCCUGCCAUGGCUCCCAAUGGCUAGAGUGACACUGUGCCCAGUCCUCCCCUGUCCUUCAGCCUAUGAGCGUCUUUAUGCUCCAGUAAACAGCCCAGCAGGACCCUCGGCCAUCCUGUGCCUCCUCCUCUCUGGAGACCCCUGUGACUCCAGCCCACCCUCUCCUGCCACACCCAUUCCCGAGGUUCAAGUGGCUCACGACCAGGCCAGUCAAGGGCCGACUCCCUGGUGAAGGAGGGCACGGGGUUGGGUCAGGCCUGUCCCUGAUCCUGAAGGGCUUGGCCCAGUUGGGGAGAAAACUCGCAUAAGCAACCGAGGAUCCCACAGGGUGCCCAGGCACAACCGCAGGUCAUGAGGGGCUGCGGCUCCCAGGGAAGGGGCAGCUGAUUCUGAAGGAGGCUCCUGAGAAAGACCCGGAGGAGCCAGGGGGAGAGAGGGAGACUUCUGGGCAGCAGGGACAGCCAGGACAGGCCUCCGGAGUGCCGGUCACCAGGGUGCAUCAGGGCCAAGAUGGUGUCAGGAAAGGUGGCUGGAGAGUGGCCGUCAGCUUGAACCGACCUGAGCCUGAGGGCUCUGGGCCACCACUUGGUUCUCGCCCUGCCUCUCU
This 1698-nucleotide long non-coding RNA is filed under the name Homo sapiens (human). Its description in RNAcentral is "HSALNT0005305". Lineage: Eukaryota; Metazoa; Chordata; Mammalia; Primates; Hominidae. The record is from RNAcentral.